GUAGGUGAACCUGCGGAAGGAUCAUUACAGAGUUCAUGCCCUCACGGGUAGAUCUCCCACCCUUGAAUAUUAUACCUUCGUUGCUUUGGCAGGCCGUGGAAACACCAUGGGCUCCGGCUGAUGCGUGCCUGCCAGAGGAAACAAAACUCUGUUUGUCUAUAAUGUCUGAGUACUAUAUAAUAGUUAAAACUUUCAACAACGGAUCUCUUGGUUCUG
RNAcentral lists this unclassified non-coding RNA (216 nucleotides) under rhizosphere metagenome. RNAcentral describes it as "partial ribosomal RNA internal transcribed spacer region". The record is from RNAcentral.